Molecule: long non-coding RNA, 16909 nt
Filed under: Homo sapiens (human)
Lineage: Eukaryota; Metazoa; Chordata; Mammalia; Primates; Hominidae
Description: non-protein coding lnc-WDR91-4:4
Source: RNAcentral
GUGUUCCCUGUCCUGCUUCCCCAGAGGAAGCCAGAAGAAGACCCCAGUUGCCAUGAACUCCGCCGUCACUAGCCGUGAGCACUCCACUUACUCGAGGAGUGAUGUCGUGCUCAGCUCCCAACCUAUGGCCAAGGCAGGAGGACAGAUAGGCAGCCCGGGAGUCCCGCAGCAGCUGCCUGGCCUAUGACAUCUUGGACAUCCUGCCAUGUUAUCUCUGUAUCUUCUUGGGGAUUCAGCACUUCCUCACAGCCCUGGGGGGCCUCAUGGCGGUGCCAUUCAUCCUGGCCAAGGACCUGUGCCUGCAGCAGGACCCCCUGACACAGAGCUACCUCAUCAGCACCAUUUUCUUUGCUCCAGCAUCUGCAUGCUCCUGCAAGUGUUUUUAGGGGUCAGGGGUUCUCCAGCCGGCCCAGGUUGUUCAGAUGCUGCUGACCAUGGGCAUGUUCAUCAGUGGAUUUCUGGGUUUUCUUCUAGACAACACCAUCCCCGCAUCUCCAUGCUGUGGAGGAUACCCGCCCCCUUAGUAGCUGUCUUGGUGAUCAGAUUGACCGUCGAGGCACUGCAGUGCUUGUCCUCAGAACAAGAACCCAGAGCCCACCAAAGGACUGGCGUGAAAGGAGCUGUAGCACUGUAUCCGUCCCACCCUCCACUGGCACCGGAUGGCUGCCCCACAUGACAGGAAGUGUUGGUGUGACCAGACCAGCAGCCCAGGAGCCAUGGGCUAGAGUGGGGCAUUGGGACCGAAUGAGCGGUAACAUGAACAAGCUGAAACACAUUCCUGCCCAGCCUGCCAAGCUGUGGGCAGUGACACGCUCUUAUUUGCCAGACUACAAGAGAAGAUCUGUGACCCUUCUGGGGGCCCAUACCUUGGGGCUCCCCAAGCCAGAGCUGUGACAUGCUGUAACACCCUCUUGCAGCUCCACGGUUGCUGGUGUCUUUGAGUUUUCAGGCACCACGGCGUUCCCCUUGUUGGGAUGCCAGUGCCCAAGGUGGAAGCCACUUGAGGCAUACCUGGUCCAGCCACAGCCUCACAUGGUUCUGACACCUGGAGCUGCCUGCCCUUCUGCAGCAGCUGGUGCACCUGGCUCUGUGGUGUGGCUGGACCCUGUGCUCACUCACACACCUCCCACUACUCCGCGCCUGGCUCACCCAUGAUGGGAAUGGGAUCUGGGCCAGUAGUGCAAGCUGAGGACAGCCUGCUGGGCUGAGUAGGCAGAGCCAGCCCAGCAGUUGUGAGCAAAACUUGGUCAGAGGCGCCACUGGUCACAGAAGUUUCUGGCUGGUGAAGUGGCACUGAAAGAAUCCUGUGUGACUUUGCUCAUCUCAGUUACUCAUUCUGUGGCCACAUCUCAGACUAGCCUUGGGGAUUCCCAGUAGCUGUGCCUGCAAUCCUCAAUUUCAAGCAGUUGUCUGACCACCACCUCCUAUUUUUCCAGCUCACUACUUCUAGUCCCCCAAGUCUAAUAACUCUUUAAUUGGCCAGGAUCUGAAUCUACCGUCCUCCCACCUUCCGCUGGUCCCCUCUUCCCUCCUUGAGCAACCUCAAUGCCACAGUCAGUCAUAAUAACCACCUUCUCGCAUUUGCAACGCCCUUAGUCUGCUCUCUUCUUUACACUCUCUUGGCAAAACCUGAACGCUGAUGAGAAAUAACUCUUCACUCUGCACCUGCACUCGUGCAGUUGAGCAUCUCUGGGGAAAACAUACAGUUGAAUGGAGUGGUUUUAGAUUCAGACCCUGAACUUCACGGGAUCCUCAGUGCCGCCUGGCAGGCAGGAACCCUUUCCCAAGCACACUGCUCUCUCUGCUAAAACUCUUUCCACCUCUGUCUUCUUCUUCUUUUUUUUUUUUUUUUUUUGAACUUCACGGGAUCCUCAGUGCCGCCUGGCAGGAAGGAACCCUUUCCCAAGCACAAGGCUCUCUCUGCUAAAACUCUUUCCACCUCUGUCUUCUUCUUCUUCUUUUUUUUUUUUUUUUUUUUUGAGACGCUCACUGUCACUCUGGCUGGAGUGUAGUAGUGCGAUUACAGAUCACUGCAGUCUUGACCUCUGGGCUCAAGGGAUCCUCCUGUCUCAGCCUUCCGUGUAGCUGGGGCUACAGGCAUGUGCCACCGCACUCUGCUAAUUUUUUAAAAAAUACUUUGUGGAGACAGAGUCUUGUCAUGUUGCCCAGGCUAGUCUUGAACCGCUCGGCUCGAGCAGUCCUCCAGCCUUGGCUUCCCAAAGUGCUAGGAUUACAGACAUGAGCCACCAUACCCAACCUCAGCUUCUUAUUUCAGAGAAAUCUGUAAAGGAGUAAUCAGAUGAGAAACUGUGCAAACACCUGCAUGUCUCCACUCCUAGCUUUGGUGCCCCUUGACUCUCCCUCCUGUUGGGUGAAUGAGCUGCCUGGCUCCUCCCUGAAGCUGGUUCCUCCCCUUGUGCUCCAGAGCCCAUUCCCUGAUUUCUAUUCAAGGGUUUCACUGCGACAAGUCUCCUAUCUUGCAUCAAGUUUUCUCUUUCUUUCAGUAACGCAUGUCAGCAUACACACCUGCUGUUAUUUCUGCUAUCUUAAAAAAAGAUUUUUUUUCUUAAAAAGAGACUUUUGUGAGUGUGUGCCAUGGUAGGCUUAAAGUAACAGGGUCCCGCCCAUCUAACAUGCUGUAAUAAAUGUGCUGGAGCUGAGGACCUGCGCUUAGCUGCUCCAGGAGUCCUGGAUGCCUCUCAUACCAGUCAAGAGCAGGCCCAUCCUCUUUCCUUACCCUACUGCUUCUGUGCCCACAGAAGCCCUUCACAUCCUGUCUCAUUCUGCCCUUUGUUCCUUUUCCUUUGGUUGACAGCUCCAGGACUUCAGAACAUUCCCUAUGUUCUCACCAAACAGCUGCCAGGCAGCCAGGCUCAGUUUUCCAAGUGGGUUUUCCUGUACUUUAUUUUCGUAUCGUGCUGUCCCCAGGCAGCCAAAGCAGGAUGAACAGCAGGAGAAGAGAGCCAGGCCCUCUCCUGGAACAGCCUCCUGGUCUUCCCUCAGCUGUACUUUUUUUUAUUGUCAGAACACGUAGUUUCAGAGCUUCAGGAACAAGGCAGCUUUGUGAGAAGCAUAUGCAAGAAGGGACAGAUUUCUGACAUUUCCAUAAAAGCACAAAGGCUUGUUUUGUUCAGAAUCAAGGUUGGAGAAGUAGCUGGUGGAUAAGAAGUAAUUGACGAGAUGGGCUUGGGGUAAUUAGCUUGAUUCAAUUAGCAUGAGGUGGAACUGAGUUACCCAAGCUAGAUGUCAGCUCAGCCCAGCCACCACCCGCCCACACCAUCUGCACUCAAUAAGCAUUUAUCUGUUGGAGCUUUUUCUGCACAUUCCAAGGUCGCUAUCAGAAUCUGAAUCCCCUGUUCUGAUAAUGCAGUGCCUAGAGCCACGGCCUCGCAGCUUCCCUCCUUCACCUCCAAUCUUGCUUCUUCCCGCCUCCACUUGACCUCCCAUGAUCCCCCUCCCAGUCAUCACCUAGAGGUGAUGCACAGAGUGGCCGACAGAGUGAACUCCAAGGGCUGGCUUCACAUUCCUACAUCCUAAUUCUUUAGAGGCAGGGCUUUUUUGUGACUUUAAACAACAAAAUUGUUCCCCAUUCAUUAACUUAUUGGGGAUAAAAAGAGUUAGAGGUGAGGUGAUCUGAGAUUCUUCUAUUAAAUGGUUUGGGGCUUCAGUUAAAUCAUUGUUUCUUCAUCUGUCAAAUGGCAGUAAUAACAGAGGCCCAACCUCCACAGGGAGCUGCUAUAACAACAACAACAUAAAAAUCCCCAAGGGGUACCCGUGAUGUUGGUUUCAUGUGUCAAGCUGGCCAAGCUAUAGUAUCCAGUUAUCUAAUCAGGCACUCCUUUAGGGGGUGUUGUGAAGGCAUUUUAUAGAUGUGGUUAACAAACCAGUCCACUUUAAAUUAAGAAGAUUGCCCUUGCUGAUGUGAUUGGGGCUCACCAUCCAUUAGCUGAAGGCCGUAAGAACAGAACUGAGGUUUCUGGGAGGAGACAUUCUUUCAAGACUGCACUGCCAACUCCAGCCUGAGUUUCCAGCCUCCUGGAAGCCCUACAGAUUUCAGACAUGCAGUCCCCACAAACAGAUAAACCAAUUUCUUAAAAUAAAUCUCGGUGUCUCUAUAUCGUAUUGGCACUGUUUUUCUGCAGAACUCUGAUUGCUACAGUACUGACUGAUAUAGGAAGAUACCUUCCCGAUACAAGUCCUUGGUGGGGAGGAAGGGAGAUUGAGAACCACGUGAAGGUAGUUUUAUGCAAUAACUCCAUCCCAGGCUAUGCCAAUACCCAAGGCUGCAGGAGAGAAGCAGAGGGCUGUUGGGCUCACAACCCAGCACAAGGUUGUGGGGGGAAGGGACACCUCCACAUCCUGCUGAGGUCCUCUCUGACUAGGGGCUGCUGGCAGGUAUGGCUCAAGGAAUGAAGUCGCAGCCUUGGACUAAAUAGGAUCAGGGUGGAGCUUGGUACAAAGAGGGAGGGGCUGGCUAGCACUGGCAUACAUUGCUUGAGGGCCUACUAUGUGCACGCCCCUCUGUAAAGCUGCAUUUCUUCUUUCCCACACAGCUGGCUUGGUGAGCCUCUAGGGGUGGCCAACCUGAGCUCCUGCAUUCCUGUCUUUCCAGCAGGAGUUCAAGCUGCCCCUGAGCACAAAGGCCCUUCCUGCCCAGCUCCUGGAGAGCCUCCCUCUGCCCACUCGGUGCGGUGAUUUGUAAGCUGUGAAGGGCUUGCGAAGCUCCUAUCCCUGCACACCCCGGGGGAAGUCCUUGAGUGCGGGCUCAUGCAUCUCAGGACUGCUUUGGAGUCACACAGGACUGGGUCUGGGUCCUAAGACUUAGCCGGUGUUUCAGACUCUCGCUAGGAGAUAACACAGUCCAAGCCUUUGGGAGGGCCUCAGUGCAGGGGAGGGGCUGCUAUGAUGCCUUGAAAACUGUAAAGAGCCAUGCAAGCCCAUUCUCCCCGCACACCCUGCAUUAGUCUGGGUUCUCCAGAGAAAUAGAGCCAAUAAGAUGUGUAUAUACGUAGAUACAGAGAAAGAGAGAGGUGAAAUAUUUAUUUUAAGGAAGGGACCCAUGCAGUUGUGGAGGUGCAAGUCUAAAAUCUGCAAGGCGGGCCGGCAGGCUGGGAAGAGCCGCAGUUCAAGUCCAAAGUUGGACUGCUGGCAGGAUUCCCUCUUUCUCCCGGGAGGUCGGUCUCUUUCGAUUCAGGCCUUUAACCUAUAGGAAGCAUUCUGAGGAUCAUCUGCUUUACUGGAAGUCUCCUGACUUAAAUGUUAAUUUCAUUAACAAUACCUUCACAGAAACAUCUAAAAUAAUGUUUGACCAAAUUCCUGGGUAUCACAGACUAGCCAGGUUGACACAUAAAAUUCACCCUCACCCCCAGUGUCCAAGCCCAGGUACACGUAUGCACCCUUUGCCCAGAAGCCUCACCAGAAAGCCCUCGGAACCCUCGGACCUCACUGUAGCUCCUGUUCAGGUGACUUUAUUACCAGGAGCAGCAGAUGAAUCUGGUUCCACCCAGCUGUCCUGUGGCACAGGGUUGAGGUCAGCACUGCCCCUGGCUCUCAGAGUGUGCAGGAUGAGCAGGUGGGCUGUGGAACUCUCUAGAACCCAUCAGGGCAAUGCCCUGUGCCCAGGACAUGCUGAAAGUACCUGGUGUUAUGUCACCUCCGAGGACAGAUCCUGCCUGUCCUCCUUGAAAGGCCCAUGGCCUGGGCCCCAGCUGUACUUUCUACCCCCUUAAUAGGAGCACAAUAGCAGCAGGCCAGCCCUUUGUGCCAAACAGUCCCUAAAGACCAACACGAGGCCGUGCUUCUCUUAUACUUUAUAAUAAUCAGAAACUAAAAUCAUCAAAAUGCUUCUGGAACAACCCACUCCAAAGAGUCCUGGAGGCCAAGGCAGGUGCAACCUUAGCUGCCAGCAUUCAACCUUGGGAACUGCCCACCUCAUUCAGUCCCUCCCCUCGCAGCUCCUCUUCUGCAUUACAAAUCUUCAUCGUCAAAGGUCUCUGUGCACUGCAACAUGAUCAUCUCUUCAUCAACGGGAAAGGAUGCUUCCUGCAAGACACAGGGUGGAAGAGGGUCACUUUUUAUCUGUGGGUCUUGGGCCCGAGGCAGAUAGGAAGGCUCCUGCAUCUCCGGUGUGCCCAGCCCCCAGACUCUAUCCUACGUCUCUUCCGCUGCAUUUUCACCUCCAGCUUGGGCCAGGAAGCAAGGGCUCUAAGGGGGGAAGGUCCCAUUUCCAUUUCACUCAACUCAGCAUUCUAUGACCUCCAGAAAGGACACAGCAGAACUGGCUUCUUUUUUAUCCUGGGGAUUUCCAGGUUCCCACAAGAGAGACAGAGGACCUCAUAAGGCUUUAUCCAAAUGCUCAUCAAUAGAAGACGGUGCACUGCACCACGGUGCUCCCACCAAUGAAACACCAUGCAGCUCAUUUCCAACAAAAAUAAUGAGACAGCGUGCUCUCUGUGGGAUACACUAUUUACAAAGGGCAAAGUGCAAAGCAAUGUGUACCGUAGGCUACUACUAUUUGUGUUUGAAAGAAUAUAUAAUAUCUGUAGAAUAUCUUUGGAUGAGUGUACAAGAAACUGGUCACUGUAGUUGCCUCUGGGGGAGGGUAUGGGGUAGGAAGCAAGGAAGAGAGAGAGACUAAGUGUCCAUUGUAUAUCUUUUGGUAACUUGUAAAUUUUAUGCCAUGUAUAUGGGUUACCUAUUAGGAGAUGAUAUUUUUUUAAGCAGCAGCACUGCAGCUGGUCAUGAUGGCUCAAUGCCUGUAAUCCCAGCACUUUGGGAGGCCAAGGCAGGCGGAUCACCUGAGGUUAGGAGUUCGAGACCAGCCUGGCCAACAUGGCGAAAUGCUGUCUCUACUAAAAAUACAAAAAAAUUAGCUGGGCAUGGUGGUGUGCGCCUGUAAUCCCAGCUACUCGGGAGGCCAUGGCAUGAGAAUCACUUGAACCUGGGAGGCAGAGGUUGCAGUGAUCCAAGAUCACACCAUGACUACACACCAUCCUGGGUGAAAAAAAAAAGCAGCAGCACUGUUUGCUUAGCAAGGGUUUCUCAGUCCCUAAAGGGACACUGUAAACAGUGAUCCCAGCCAACACCUCAGGACUCUCCAUGACUUCUUCCUCUAAAAAUAUGUUCCUGAGGCUUUGCUCCUUCUGUCUGUCUCCAUCCUAGCAGAAAAUGACCCCUGUAACUUGUCAGCCCUGCAGAUCAGAGUUGAUCCCCAUGGAACCAGGUGGCAUCCCUGACCCCAGUCAACCAUCUAAUGAAUGUGGGACCUGGUCCCAAGGGUGAUAUCCUCAUAGUGGGGACGACCUCCACAAACUGAGCCUUUCCUGCCCUGGAGAAGCAGUUCCCAUUCACCAUGCUCUCCUGAUAGGGGCAGGGAAAUAGGGAUCAAGAGUGUCAGGGAGGUGGGACCACAGUCUCCAGGCAAAUCUUGUGGGCCCCUUGUUCAGCAGGAAGACAGUGGCAGAGGUUGGGAGGAGAAUGCAACUUUUCUGUUUACACCAGAGUCUAUCAAAGCCUGAGUCCUCCUGCCCCAGAGCCACUUGGACAGCUCAUUCCAAAUGCAGAUUUCUGGGGCCCGUUCUUGCAGCACUGAGGCAUCGGGAAUCUAGGAGUGCUGAAGUUUGGCAUCUUUGCUUUGUUCUGUUGUUGUUGUUGUCUGGAGAGAGUCUCACUCUGUUGCCCAGGCUGGAGUACAGUGGCUUGAUCUCAGCUCACUGUAACCUCUGCCUUGUAGGCUCAAACAAUCCUCCCAACUCAGCCUCCUGAGUAGCUGGGACUACAGGCAUGUACCACCACACCCAGCUAAUUUUUAUAUUUUUUGUAGUGGUGAGGCUCUGCCAUGUUGUCCAGACUGGUCUUGAAAUCCUGGGAUCAAGUGAUCUGCCCACCUCAGCCUCCCAAAGUGCUGGGAUUCCAGGUGUGAGCCACUGCACCCGGCCAUACCUUUGCUUUGUAUGGAUACAAGAAUCCCUGCUUGUUAUCUUUUCUGCCAUAUAUGGAGAAGGAGGGGAGGCAAAGAUUGUCCUUUUCGUCUAUUCUCAAAGUCUUGAUAAAGUGGGCUAAUUUAACUGUAUCUGAGAGAAAGAGGGGACAACUGGUCCAGGGGACUGUCACCCAAGGAUUGGUGGGAAGGGGAGAGCAAACUGCAAGGAAGGGCUCCACAUAAGGAUUCACUGUGGUCCCAGAAGAAGGAAAUGAAGACUUAGUUGGAAAAGGGCAAGUUAUACCUUAGCCUAUUGAACAGGUGUCUUGACUAUUUUUAGACAAACAUUUGCUAUUAUUAUAACUUACCUUUUAAAUAAACAGUUGUAUUAUUGCUAAACUAGUAAAGAAAAAUCCAUGGCUAUGAAUUUGAAAGGACCUGUCCCCUUGUGGCUCAGGUAUAACCCCCCUUCUCUGACAAAAGCUUCCAGGAAUGGCCCUCCUAACCAAGAGUCCCACUGCUCAUAUCACUGUAAGUGGAACAAUUUGGAAGCAGACAUUAAUAUCCUUCAAAAGCUGACAGCAAAUAUUACCGAAGGUGAUGAAGACUGUAGAAGAUGAUGAAAUAGCCCAGCGUUUUGGGAAGGUGUCAAAGGUUCACACAACAUUUAUGAAUGCCUGCUGAGAGUCAGGCCCCUGGGAUCGGGUUCCUGCUUCAAAGGGCUCCCAGUCAAGGUCUGCCUUAGAGCAGUGGUUCCCAACCUUUAUGGCACCAGGGACCAGUUUCACGGAAGACAAUUUUCCCACAGACCUGGGGGGCAAGGGUGGUUUCAGGAUGAAACUCUUCCACCUCAGAUCAUCAGGCAUUAGUCAGAUUCUCAUAAGGAGAGAGCAACCUAGACCCCUUGCAUGAGCAGUUCAUAAUAGGGUCUGCACGCCUAUGAGAAUCUAACGCUGCCACUGAUCUGACAGCAGGCAAAGCUCAGGCUGUCAUGCUCACCCUCUGCUGUGCAGCUGUGUUCCUAGCAGGCCAUAGAUCUGUACUGGUCUGUGGCCUAGGAGUUGGGGACCCCUGCCCUAGAGGACACUUCUCUGUCUUUCCUGUUUCCCUGGCUAUCUUCCAUUCAUUCUACAGGAUGCAUCAGGCUGAAGGUGACCAUUCAUGGAGCAAGCCAGAGAGAAUGGAGAGUGUCCCUGCCCAGUGGCUCCUCAUGCUGGCAAGCACUGAACUGACAACAGAAAGGAAGAAAAGGCAACAAAUAUUCAGGAUCCUGAUCUUUCAACUCUGCUUCCCCCUCCCCUGAAAGAUUUGGGUUACAGUAUGAACCAAGCACAUGUAAAUUCUCAGACAGCCCAGACCUCUCCUUGAAAGGGCAGGGAGUUCUGAAUAUUGCCUGGCAAGGACAGGCUGGCAGCUUCUCGAUGGUUGUCUUUGCAGUCCAAGCUCAGCACAGAAACAGGAAUGUGUCUUCCAGCCAAUUGCAGCAAAAUGAAACUCCACUCACAGCUGAGAAGCACUUGAGUCACUCUGUAAGGUCGAUUUGGAGAGGACAAAGCCCUCCUCUGACAAUCCCACUUCUCCCCAAGUCCAUCUAGGCCUGGGUGGAACAGGGAGAAUGGAGGGAAAAUGUUGAUGUGUGGUUUCCCUGAAGCUCUGCUGAAAGGCCAGCUGGGUUACUAGGGACAGCUGUGGCCCCAAGGCCUCACAGGCACCCAUAGGCCAGGCUCCCCUUGAGAGGACAAUGAGAUAUUCAUUGGGAUCACAAGGAUAUGUCCCUCUCACCCCCAAAGCAGAAAAAUAAAUGUCCAGGAUUCUUUUUAGCCAUGAUAGCAGCACAGGUAUCUGAAGAACCUGUGCCUUCAGGCUCUAAGACCACAGGUUUUUCAAGCAAAGCAGCAAGGGAAUUUCAGUCCUAAAGGAUUUCUCUCAGAAAACACACCUUUGGGACAUUGUUAGUCACGCUGCUUCUUGUUUUAAAAUCUUUUCACAUCCUAUUUUGUGUCUUCCCACUUCAUGGGGUCAGCUAUCCUUUUCUCCCCUCCUUCCAUAUCCGUUCCCAUCAGCACCAUGAAAAGCAGCAACCCCCCUUUGCAGAACUCAGAGAGUCCCCUAAACUCAGGGCCCAUGCCUAUUUGCAUGUUGGCCCUUAUUCUCUGUGCCCCAGAGCCCCCUCCCCGCCUUCUCCUUCCAGGUCAGCUGGGAGAACCUGCCCGCAAGCUGCCCUGGGUGCUAGAGACCGAUGGAUUGUGUUCUUCCGAAAUUCAUAUGCUGAAGCCUAAUCCCCAGGGUGAUGGUGUUAGGAGGUGGGGGACUCCGGGAGAUCAUAGACUAGGGCAUGAAGAUGGGCCCCUCAUGAUGGGAUUAGUGCCCUUAUAAAACAGGCCCCAGAGCCAGGCGCUGUGGCUCACGCCUGUAAUCCUAGCAUUUUGGGAGCCGAGGUGGGUGGAUCAUCUGAGGUCAGGGGUUCGAGACCAGCCUGGCCAACAUGGCAAAACCCUGUCUCUGCUAAAAAUACAAAAAUUAGCUGAGCAUAGUGGCAUGCACCUGUAAUCCCAGCCACUCGGCAGGCUGAGGCAGGAGAAUCACUUGAACCCAGGAGGCGGAGGUUGCAGUGAGCCAAGAUCACACCACUGCACUCCAGCCUGGGUGACAGAGUGAGACUCUGUCUUAGAAAAAAAAAAAAUUUUUUUAAAGAAAGAGGUUCCAGAGAGAUUCCUUGCCCCUACACCAUGUGAAUUUUAUCCAGAAGGUGCCGUCUGUGAAAAACCGAGCCUCUGACUCUGCUGGCACCUUGGUCGUAGACUCCCCAACCUCCAGAACUGUAAGAAAUACAUUUCUGUUGUUUAUAAGCCAUCCAGCCUAUGGCAUUUAGUAUAUAAUGGACUUAAGGCAGGGAUACAGCAGCCCUCAGUGGAGGUUAGCAGGACUAACACACACUGGGAAUGGGGUGCAAAGUGAACAGAUGAGUUUCCACAACCUACAGCUGAUAACCUGGUAUGUCCCAGCCCUGCGCCAGGAUGGAAGAAUUUUCUACUCUGAAGAUGCCACAGAUAGUGUCAUCCCCAGGGCAAUGACACAAUCCUAGGACCAGCUCACUUCCAAUCACAGAAAAAAGGUGGAUCCCCAAGAAUACCCACUGAAUUAGGCACCAGAUCUGAUUUGGCUCUGUGUCCCCACCCAAAUCUCCUGUUGAAUUAUAAUCCCCAUGUGUUGAAGGAGGGGCCUGGUGAGGGGGUGUGUGAUUGAAUCAUGGAAGUGGAUGUCCCCCUUGCUGUUCUCAUGACAAGAGUUCUCACAAGAUCUGGUUAUUUGAAAAGUGUGUAGCACUUCCCCCUUCACUCUCUCUCCUGUCACCAUGUGAGGAUAUACAGGUUUCCCCUUUGCCUUCCACCAUGAUUGUAAGUUUCCCCAGCCAUGCCUCUUUUACAGCCUGUGGAACUGUGAGUCACUUAAACCUCUUUUCUUUAUAAAUUACCCAGUCUCAGGUAGUUCUUUGUAGCAGUGUGAGAAUGGACUAAUACAACACCCAUCUAGGGACUGCAGAGGAGAGGCCCCUGAACACCCCAGCAGGGGUGCACACACACACACACACACACACACACACACACUCUCUCUCUCUCCCUCUGUCUCCUCUCUCUGUCUCUGACUUACCACAUUCAUGCACAUGCAAACUCACACAUACACACCUGCGCACACACAAUCUCACAUCCACCCACACAGGGGCACAUGCUAUCUCACACCCUCUUCCUCACCUGGAGCUAGAUGUACUCGGAACCUCACUUUUGUCCAGGAAGCUUGCCACAUCAAAGGCAUCCUCAAAAAGGAUCUGAAAGAAAGCACAACACUUCAUGUGUUGGAAAUAACUUGACAAUUUCAUGCUUGCCCUGGGCUGCUGGGGAGAGAUGAGUGGAAAGGCUCUCUCUUUACACAUACCCCAGAGGGCAUGCAUGUCAGAGCUGGGGCCCACACCCAGGGGCUCUGCUUGCUGUUCUUCCUAGGGGGUAAAUGCUAAACUCUAGAGUGCCCAGGACAAACUGCCAACCCUGGAGGUGGCUGUGAGGGACAGGAAGAAAUGGGGAUUGUGAUUCCUCUUGCCGACGAAGGUGGGAGCUCAGGUGUGAGAUGCAAUUACCAGAGCCUCAGUUUACCACUGAGAAAAACCUCAUCAAAACUUCCCAAGGCGCACAGAUUAUUGGAGCCCAGGGUCCCCAGUCUAGCUGUCUCAUGCCAGGACAGCUGAAUCCAGAGGGUCAGGAAGGCUCUGGGUUAGGCUGCAGGCAGGCCAACUCCCAGGCCUGUGUCCCUUGCUAGCUGUGUGACCUGGGACAAGUUACUUCAUCUCACAAAUCCUCCUCUAUAAAACAGGAAUCACAUUAGUGUCUACUCAUAGGGCUAUUCCAAGAAUUAAGUAAGAUAAUGUAUGUGAAGUAUCUAGUUACAUUUGAACAUUAUCCACUUUAUAACAGACAUACCUGGCACAUAAUUGAACAUUAUCUGCUUUAUAAGAGACAUACAUGUUCAUUGUGGAAAUUUUGGAAAAUAGAAACAGAUCAAGAAAAUAAGAAUUACUGAGAAACAAUCCCACCCAGAUAUCCAUUGUUGACACAUUGAUCUAAUUCUCUCCAGUCACUUCCCUAGGUCUAUAAUAUAUAUUUCCAAUUUGGAAUCUUGCUAUUUAGACAGUUUUUCAUCCUGCUUCCCCCUAAUGUGUUAGAGAAUAUUAAAUAUGUUACAGAAACAUGAUUUACACUUACAUGACUGCCAGAUUUAGCAAAUACAAAUACGGGAUGCCUAGUUACAUUUUGAAUUUCAGAUAAAGAAUGAAUAAUUUUUAGUAUAAGAAUGUUUUGAAUCAUGCAUGGGACGUUUUUGUAUUAAAAAUUGAACUGGGCAUGCUUUACUUUAACUGACAUCUCCUUUGCACUGGCAAUCACGCCUAGGAGAGGAGAGGAAGUUCUCUGACCCUGAGUUGGCAGGUACUGGCAGGUUCCGCCAGGGUCUCUCCUCUCCUCUUCCCUUCCUGCAACACACAGCUCUUCCAAGAGGAUUGGUGUCUGCCCUUUCUGUCUUCCUUCAAUUGACUUCCUGGAACUGAAUCCCUUGGGACUCUGGCCCCUCUCUUAGUUUUCCGGACAUUUUCUGUUGUCCUUCUACUUGAUAUCUCUGUGGUCAUUUCAAAGAGGAUCUGGAAAGGGGCCACAGAAAGACCUGUGCUUCAGUGUCCAUCAGCUCUGAAGCCUAUCAGCUACAUGUUGCUCCCUGGCAGGCCUGAAACAGGGACCCAGAACUGAAAUCCCUGUCCUUAAGCAAUCAGCCCACCAAAGUCGCAGGCCACACAUUGUGCUCACCUGUGCAAAUCCCCCUCACAAGCCAGCCUGAGAGGGGACCCCAGACCAGGCUCCACAGCCUUUCCAGAGUGCCACCACACUCACAGGGAAGCUCAUGUCUGAACUGAAAUGGAGCAUUCCAGAGCCUCCUGGGCCCAUCUGACCGUGCUGCUGGCCUCUAACACAACAGUUCUGCAGCAGAACCUCUCCAGGUGGACCAGGGGCUGCAGUGGUGUCACUGCUCAGCAGGAGUAACUGUGGCUUUGUCCCUGCCUCGGGCAUGGGAGUUCUCUGUUCUGCCUACCUUAUCGCCCAGCCCUGGCCUGGCCUAAACCUGGGCACAGCAGUGCAGGCAGAGCCCUGCUUCUGGCCACAGCUGAGGGAAUCUGCUGCCAGCUUCCCUUAAUACCCAACAAACAUCAGCCCAUAGGCCUCCCUGAAAAACCCAGAAAAGCUGUUUCCAUGAUUUGGAGACAUUAGAUUCUGGUUGUUUUCUCUUUGGAUGUGUUCUUCCUGGGGAAGUGUUCGUGCUGGCACAGUCAAAUUUGGCAGAAUUGCUCAGGCAUUUGGUAGAUACUGUCAUGCAUCACUUACUGAUGGGGAUAAGUUCUGAGAAAUGUGUCCUUAGGCAACUUUGUCAUGUGAACAUCACAGAGUGUAUUUAUGCAAACCUAGAUGGCAUAUAUACAUAUAUUUAUCUUUUCUUUUUUGAGACAGAGUUUUACUCUUGUCACCCAGGCUGGAGUGCAAUGGUGUGAUCUCGGCUCACUGCAACCUCCACCUCCCAGGUUCAAGCGAUUAUCCUGCCUCAGCCUCCAGAGUAGCUGGGGUUACAGGCACUCGCCACCACGCCCAGCUAAUUUUUGUAUUUUUAGUAAAGAUGGUGUUUCACCAUUUUGGCCAGGCUGGUCUUGAACUCCUGACCUCAGAUGAUCCACCCACCUUGGCCUCCCAAAAUGCUGGAAUUACAGACUGGCAUCACCACGCCCAGCCCAUAUAUUUAUUUAUAUAUAUUUUUUCAUAUGGAAAACCAAAAAUCCAAGUUCCAUUACUGAAUAUCAAUUAUUUACCCUACUUGAUGUGCAAUGCCAAUAUCGAGUGCCAUAUAUCAGGUUUCCAUAUAUGCUCCAUUAUCAUCUUAUGUGACCACCAUUGUAUAGGUGGUCUGUUGUUGCCCAAAACAUCUUUAUGUAGCCCAUGACUGUAUUUUCCUUUCGUUUUCUUCAUGUGAGACUCCAGGGCUUGGCACUUUGGGGCUGUAAACACAUCUGUUUGGCUGCCCUUUCAUACAAGCCUUGGGUAUGAGGUCCUAAUCUUCUGGCUUUUUUUGAGCCAUCAUGGAACAGAACGCAUGUCUUCUCAUGGUGGACCCAACAUCAGAGGAAAACCAGAUCAGAAGCCACAGUCUGGUGGACCCAUGUUCGGGGGUCGGGGAAAGGACCAAGGCAGUAGCUGGUAGGCCAUUGAACAUCUGCACUGGGAGUUCCCUCCAAUAGGACCUACUGCACUAGCCACGAGGGAAGCUUGUUAAAAAUGCAAUUCCUGAGGCCCCACCCUCAGAGGCUCUGAUUCAGUGUGUCUGGGAUAGAUAGAGUCUUGCUGUGUUGCCAGGCUGGAGUGCAGUGACACAAUCAUAGCUCACUGCAGCCUUGACCUCCUGGGGUCAAAGGAUCCUCCUGCCUCAGCCUCCUGAGUACCUGGGACUACAGGUGUACCACCACCACACCUUUUUAUUUUUUUUUAGUUUUUAGUAGAGACGCAGUCUCACUGUGUUGCCCAGGCUGGUCUCAAACUCCUGGGCUCAAGCAUUGCUCCCACCUUGCUCGGCCUCCCCAAGUGCUGGGAUUACAGGUGUGAGCCACUGCGCCCAGCCAGGCACCUGACUUUAAAAAAAAACUCCACAGGUGAUUCAGUUGAGAAGCAUCAGGGGAGAUAAUGGAGGGUUGACCAUCAACAGGUGACCAAAGGGCAGAGUAAUGUGAAAAAAUGUGUGAUGACAGAGACACAGUCACUGAAGCAGGAGCUGGGAGUUCUGGGCAAGUCACACUGCUGGUUAGGCCUGCAAACUGGAAGGACAGGAAUGGGUGACAUCUCUGUCGUUCUCCAGGCUUGGGCCUGAUAGCUGAGGAACCUUCUAAAAAACGGAGGCAUUCCAGGGCUGUAACUCCAGGGUCAGAGACAAUCGGACGCUCUCUGGCCCUAAGGCUCCACAGAGAGACUCUGGGAAACUAGCAUGUCGUCUCCUCAAAGGCGCCCCGACUGAGGAGCAUUUGGAAAGUCAGGGCAAGGGGGUGGCCUGUAUCAGGCGGAAGCCAUGGAUGCUAAAUGUCCACGAAGCACAGGGCAUGUGCAGAAUGCGAAUCGGCUGCGCCUGGGCUAGAGGAGCGAGCGUGGGCCGUGUGGUAGAGCAGUGUUCUGAGGCCGUCCUCAUACUGGAAGAGCAGCUGUGGGCCCACUUUUAUCUCCGUGCAGGGCGACCUCAAAUGCUACCUGAUGCUCUGCUUUGCAGACUAUGGCCACGGCCAUUCUGACUAGCGUUCUGAAAGCUGAGAAAUGCAUUUACGGUAGCAGUUGUGGUAACCUCCCCUUCACAGAGCGAUCCCAGUGCUCUUUGGGGUGGGAACUGACGGCCUUUCAAGGGCUGGACCUGAUUGGUCCAAGUGUGAUUCCCUCUAUGGCCAGUCAUUGGCUCAGCAGGCUGGCAAUUUGGCCAGUUCCAACCAAUGAGAGGGGAGGAGCGGUUCCGGAAAAGUUCUUCCUUAACUCUUAAGAAAGAGCUUUCGUAGGAAAUCUUUGUCUUACCUGAUGUAGAGUAGGAAGAAAGACAGUUCGAUUGCUCUAGCUGCCAUUCCAUAGCCACAGGAGCCGGAGGAGGUGGGGAGGGCAGGGAAAGAUAAGAAACUGAGCAGAGCCAAGAGAGGCCUGAAUCCACGCGGACAUGGUGAGCUCCUCUGCCUGCCUCGGACCUCCCCGGGUGUGAGGAGUGCAUUUCUUCGUGGUUUAAUAAUCCAGGCCCUGGCAGCCCAAAGAAUCCCAACUGAGACAACCUCUCAAGACUUGUCUUCUGCCAUCCCCAGGGAAAGGCCAGGAAACUAACCGCAGAAAAACAAAUACUGUUCCGUGACCCCAGGGAUUAGAAAAUCAGAAACCGGCCGGGCGCGGUGGCUCACGCCUGUAAUCCCAGCACUUCGGAAGGCCGAGGCGGGUGGAUCACGAGGUAAGGAGAUCGAGACCAUCCUGGCUAACACAGUGAAACCCCGUCUCUACUAAAAAUACAAAAAAAUUAGCCGGGCGUGGUGGCGGGCGCCUGUAGUCCCAGCUAUUCGGGAGGCUGAGGCAGGAGAAUGAGGUGAACCCGGGAGCCAGAGCUUGCAGUGAGCCGAGAUCGCGCCACUGCACUCCAGCCUGGGCGACAGAGCGAGACUCCGUCUCAAAAAAAAAAAAAAGAGAAAAAAGAAAAUCAGAAACCGACCUUGGGAGCCAGAAGGCAAACUGCACCUCCAACCUGCUAAAUGCAAAGCCCUGGUGUCCCCAGGCGAGGGCGAGGGUGGUUCCCGUGCCCCAUCCACGCCACCCCGGUGGGCCUGCUCACCUCCUCGGGCGUGGAGACCAGCGAGCAGCUGGCCCCCUGGCUGUCCACGCCGCUGUCCUUCACGCUGCC